This 233-nucleotide unclassified non-coding RNA is filed under the name plant metagenome. Its description in RNAcentral is "partial contains small subunit ribosomal RNA, internal transcribed spacer 1, and 5.8S ribosomal RNA". The record is from RNAcentral.
UUUCCGUAGGUGAACCUGCGGAAGGAUCAUUAUUGGAUUUUGAAACUUCAGGCUGCUGCUGGCUCUUCUCGGAGGGCAUGUGCACGCUUGUUGUCCAUUAUUUCUCCCACUGUGCACAAAUUGUAGACCUUUCAGUAGGCCUAUGUUGUUUUUCACAAUCUCUGAAUGUAAUAGAAUGGUUUUGAAUCUUGGGAAAUACAAUACAACUUUCAGCAACGGAUCUCUUGGCUCUC